CAGAAAUGGCCUUAUCACCAAUGGGAGAAUUUUUGAAGAUUUACCAUCCAGUUGCAAAAAAGGAAAAGAAAAAAAAAAGUUGUGUAGUUAAGUCAGCCAGAAUGAAUUUGAACAGUCAGAUCAACAUAGAGCCUUUCCUGCCAUCCACUGUACAGUAGCUGUCCUUAGUGUACCAGUGGACAUCCUUGAAAGGAGCAGUUACGCUGAGCCAUCCACAAGGAACAUUGGUGAUUCCUUCAGCCGAAGAAGAAGAGAUAUGUCAGCAUGCAGAGGUUAUAACUACUUCAAGAAGCUCUGAGAAAGUUGGAAGGCAGACUGCAAAAGUAUUCCACUGAGGCAGAUUAAUUCAAACAUGGUCACAGGCGUAAAAAGACUUGGAAUGCACGUCCAUUAAACUGACAAACAGCUUGCCAGAUGGAUCCAAUGGAAGGAACCCUUUUCCUGACAACUAAUCCCUGAGUUGUGCAGUGUGAAGGGGAGAACGGAGCAGCUCGGUUACCAGCAAGAAGAACAGACAGCACCCUUUCUGUUUGGAAAGUCCUGAUAUUUGCCAUAUCUUUUGGAACUCUGGUUUGUGAGGAUAUAUCAUCCCGUGGAAAAAGGUAAAUGAACCCCCUUUAUUCAAACUUUAUGGCGACAUUUAUGGGAGAGCCACAGGAGGCAACUGCAAGUUUUGUUAGCAAGGUGGUAACAGUAGAGUGUGAUUGUUUCGUGGACCAAAAGCUUCCUGCUGUGAUCCCUGUUCUUAUUUCAUAAUGACUGAACCUGGGACUUUGACCUCUUAACCUACAGUGGCAGCUGAGAUUACUGAGACUGAAAAGUUAAGAAGCCUGGAAAGAAAAGGAGGACGCUGCAGAAAUACAGGCAACAAAGAGACAGAAGAAAUGAAGGGAAAUGGAGAGAUAUACACUAAGAAGAUGAGCCAGUAACACCCUUCUCAGAAGGUGGCAUCCAAAAUGGAAAUAAAUUCUCAUUUUCUGAGAGCAUUUGAUCUACUUACUUCAGAUCAUGCCGACUGACUACAGUAUAAGAAUGGUCAUCCAAUGUGGGGGUGCACAUAAAAGAUUCUGCAAAACUGAGCCUACUGACUGCUGGAGCAUGCUGCCCAAUAUAUCAUGUUUAUGCAAUGAAGAAGCAUGGAUCCACAUCACUCAGAUCUUACCUUUAAAAUGGCAGUGAAGACCUUGAAAUUGUAAAUGAGGUUGGCUGGCUGACAUAUAUAAUAUGAAGAUUCUUUUUGUAUGGAAAGAAGGCACGUACAAGUAUUGUUGAAGCAUUUGUAGUAACUUCAGCUAUGCUUCAUGAGAAGUGAUCUUGAGAAGCAGCAGUAGUACAGCCACCAAAUACAAGAGGACACAUUUUCAUUGUGUUUAGAAGUCAUGAAUGUCAUAGAACAAAGGACAGCUUGGAAAAGUUUUAGGACAUGAAGACAGAAAUAUUCCAAGACUUACUCUUAGGCUCCUACGUGCUUUUAAACAAACAAACAAACAGAUGAAUUUGUUCCCGAAUUUUACUGCUUUCAAAUCUUUGCUAACUUUUGAUUCAAUUUCCUAGUGGCAAGUGGUUUUAGUAAGGGUUUUUUUGGUGUCGGGGAGAAGAUGAAUCAGAACUUUUCGAGUUGGACAAUUUUCCAGAUGGCAUUUUCCUUUUGUACAAACUUUCUCUAAUAUCUGUAAAAAUGACAGAAACCUUCAGAAGAUUGUUUAUUUUUUCUCCCUGCAUUAACAUCUCUGAGCAUGUUCAUAUGAGUCACAGGUUGAUGACCUACGUCUAUCUCCUUAUGAAACAGCUUCCCUAUUACCAAAUCUAUCAUCACAACUGGCACUGACACCAUUUCUUGAAGUGUUAUCUCUGACAUGAUGUUAUCUCUGACAUGAAGGAGCAGACAAGGAACUGAUGCUUCAAAUUUUGUCUAGAUGCAACUGCUUCAGCUGAAAAACUUUGGAAAAUUCUUAACGUAUUCACUCAUUAGCAUAGAAAAAUAUUUUCUAGCCUUAAUUUAAAAUAAUUAUGAACUAUGACUGUCAAAUAAAUGUCAAAUAAGUUUGACAAAGAGGGGCUGCUGUAUCUGCCAUCUAUUGAAAAUUUGUCCCAAUUUGCCCAGGUUCAUGCAGCUAAAUACAGACUUUUUAUUUUUCAGCAUUGCUGUUCCCUGAAGACUUCUUCUAGCCUUUGCAUGCUUCAGGUUUUGCAGUGAAGAUGUUGGCUGUUCCUGGCUGAAAGGGGAGAGGAGAGGAAAGCAGCCUGACAUAGAUGGAAAGGGCAGAAGAAGUAUAUCUGCUUACAAAAGAGAAGUGUGGGAGAGCUGAGGAGUGGGAACCCAAGGUAGAGGAUCUUGUGGCAAGAAUCUGAAAAUGAAGCUUGUGUCUGUACAAGUGUUUGGAGUGAGACUCAAGUUUUUGUGCCUGAUUUCUAAGUUGUCCAGGUAUUGCAUUCAUUGUGUCAUUAUGCUUCAGCUAAUAAAUAUCUGCUGAAAAAUAAA
Molecule: long non-coding RNA, 2482 nt
Organism: Strigops habroptila (Kakapo)
Lineage: Eukaryota; Metazoa; Chordata; Aves; Psittaciformes; Psittacidae
Source: Ensembl